GACGAACGCUGGCGGCGUGCUUAACACAUGCAAGUCGAACGAAGAGCGAUGGAAGCUUGCUUCUAUCAAUCUUAGUUGCGAACGGGUGAGUAACGCGUAAUCAACCUGCCCUUCAGAGGGGGACAACAGUUGGAAACGACUGCUAAUACCGCAUACGAUCUAAUCUCGGCAUCGAGGAUAGAUGAAAGGUGGCCUCUACAUGUAAGCUAUCACUGAAGGAGGGGAUUGCGUCUGAUUAGCUAGUUGGAGGGGUAACGGCCCACCAAGGCGAUGAUCAGUAGCCGGUCUGAGAGGAUGAACGGCCACAUUGGGACUGAGACACGGCCCAGACUCCUACGGGAGGCAGCAGUGGGGAAUCUUCCGCAAUGGACGAAAGUCUGACGGAGCAACGCCGCGUGAGUGAUGACGGCCUUCGGGUUGUAAAGCUCUGUUAAUCGGGACGAAAGGCCUUCUUGCGAAUAGUGAGAAGGAUUGACGGUACCGGAAUAGAAAGCCACGGCUAACUACGUG
Molecule: ribosomal RNA, 510 nt
Filed under: uncultured bacterium
Lineage: Bacteria
Description: partial 16S ribosomal RNA
Rfam family: Bacterial small subunit ribosomal RNA
Source: RNAcentral